CUCUAAUGGCAAUUAAGCCGGAAAGCCUUCUGUUUGUCUCCAUGUUAACUUCACAGAAAUGUUUCCAUGACAACCUUCAUGCACGUUAAGGCAACCAGAGGUGAUUGAGUCUUUUUUUUUUUUUUCUCCUUUUCCUUUCCUGUUGCAAGAGUGGAAUUUGUGUUGACAGUUCUGGCCUUUAAUGGCACUUUGGUGCCGCAUGAAAGUAUUUGUUUACCGGGAUCAUAUGCUGCUAGCUGUCAGCCUCGCAGAGAUUGACUUCUCCAGAUAAAAGACUGUAUUACAUGCUUAAGAGGUCUUAUGUGCUGUAAUUAGCCACAUCAUCCCAGUGACGUUUGGUGUGCUUCAGUAACUAAGAUACUGAGUGCUUCCUCUGAGGUCACCUAUUAGAAAUAACAAAUGCUUUUUUGUUGUUUUAAAGCUUUUUCUAUUCUAGUGGGUGUCAGUGGAUGUGGAUUUUAUGCUUAUUUUAUGGAUUUAAAUGUUCAGUGCAUUGACUAAUGGAAUGUUACUUCUCAAUCUGAGGUUGCAACGCCCCAGACCUUUCAUUUGAUUAUUUUUUUUUUUUUUAAUUUGAUUUUUUUCUUAAACAUGCCAUAUAAUCCCCAACUCUAGUCUUUUGACUGUGACGGUGCUCUUUCACACGAAAAAUAUCACAUGACCUUUAUGGAGAGGUAUUCAAAUCACCCAAAAGCAUCUUAUCUUAGUACAAAUGCCCUUGAAGUUAUUAAUUGUAUGCUUAGCUGAUUUUAUCAAUUCUGAUAUGUUUUGUCAUACUUUUUUUUUUUUUUGGCAUGACAGGGUUGACUGAUUCACUGGUUUAUUGAGUGUUUUAGUCUCUGGUUGACUUAAAUCCCCAGUCGUUGUGGAUGAAGGGGGGCGUCAUUUGUAGUAAACGGCAAGGUCAGCCCAGCUGGACCAAACUUGCCUGUGGCCUGUGACGAGAGGAAGUGUGGAAAUCGACUCGAUGCUAAUUCUCUCAUACUUGGACUCAGUUCUCCCAAACAAACGGACAUCAACUGAAAGUUUCCCCUCAGGGAUGAGAACUGGUAUGGCUGUUGCUCAUAGUGCAGCAGGAGUACUCUGAAACAAAGGCGAAAGCGGUGAGUAAAAGCAAUCUUUAAAGUGCUAAUUUGCAUGUUCGUUCUGUCUGUCUCGGCCAUAAUUGAUAUGUCCUCUCAAAAAUCACUUCCAUUAUAUAUUCCAUCAACCACAUCCUGAGAGGAGCGUUAAUAAUGAGGAGUCCGGGGACCUCUUAAAGAUUCUUCAUGCAUUAUGACAGUCGAGAGAGUCCACUUAGUUUCUGACGGCCUUGACGUUUGUGGGGUUUCACCUUAAAGGCAGUUGAAGUCAAGAUAAAUGUAUUGUGGUGCAUAACCCAGCAGGUAAAGGUUUAAAGCAUGUUAUCCAGCUCCAUCCGGCCCUCCGUUGUGGCCCUGAUGAUUGUUUUGUCACCAAGUAAGUAAAAGAUACGCAUAAGGAAUGGAGGUUGUGGUUACCGUCAUUAGCGAUGUAGACAUUGCCAGACGGGUGGCUACAGUUGCGAAGGGUAAAUGAGAGAAACCUGCACCUAUUCAAGGCAGUUCAUGCAGAGGGCAUAUUUGAUCAUUUGAGUAAGAGAGUUGUUGACUUUUUAAGGGUCCUGGUAUUAGUUACUGUAGGUACUCAGUUGUUAUUAUAAUGUUUGUUCUGAAGGGAUAAAAAAAUUGAAUCAAAAAUGAAAAAGUGUGGAACACGAUAGGAAAAAUGUUGAAGAAUGUACUGGCCAAUCUUCAACAUAUAAUGAAUUGGGGGGGAAGCACUAUAAAAAUAUUAUAAACGUAGUGCCAUGAAAAUUACUCAGUAACUUUUUGCAACAAACAGAUCAACAUUACAUUACAACAGUCAUUAUCUAUUAAAAUAUGGUGCAUUUAGAUGCAACAUGUAAAGUUUGAUCACAAAGAAGUUUGUUUAAAUAUGUAGAAGUGCGAAUGAAAUACAUUUCUUGAAUGGUCC
Long non-coding RNA from Cyprinus carpio (common carp), 1995 nucleotides. Lineage: Eukaryota; Metazoa; Chordata; Actinopteri; Cypriniformes; Cyprinidae. The record is from Ensembl.